Molecule: ribosomal RNA, 292 nt
Filed under: uncultured bacterium
Lineage: Bacteria
Description: partial 16S ribosomal RNA
Rfam family: Bacterial small subunit ribosomal RNA
Source: RNAcentral
GUGUCAGCCGCCGCGGUAAGACAGAGGGUGCAAACGUUGUUCGGAUUUACUGGGCGUAAAGCGUGUGUAGGCGGCUUCGCAAGUUGGAUGUGAAAUCCCACGGCUCAACCGUGGACGUGCAUCCAAAACUGCGUCGCUGGAGUCUCGGAGAGGAAGGUGGAAUGCUUGGUGUAGAGGUGAAAUUCGUAGAUAUCAAGCAGAACACCUGCGGCGAAGGCGGCCUUCUGGACGAUGACUGACGCUGAGACACGAAAGCGUGGGGAGCAAACAGGAUUAGAAACCCUCGUAGUCC